This 4137-nucleotide long non-coding RNA is filed under the name Sus scrofa (pig). Its description in RNAcentral is "lncRNA (ENSSSCG00005013566.1)". Lineage: Eukaryota; Metazoa; Chordata; Mammalia; Artiodactyla; Suidae. The record is from RNAcentral.
AUCCCUUGGUAUAAUUCUGUAUCCUCUCUGCGCCUUGUUUUAGACACUGGAUGGUGGCAUGGUCAUGGUUCACCGACUCUGCCCUCCCUAAAAUGUGGUUUGUGCCAUGCCCUUGUCCUGCUUUAGUGGCAGGAAUGGGCUCCUCAGGAGCUGUUUCUCUUGGGCUGAGAACAGGGUUGGCUCUAGGAAGAUGACAGCUCGAUGUGAAGAGAGACCCUCAGCUCCUCUGGGGACAGACGUUUUGACAAAUUUGCAUUAAAUUCCAUGUUGUGUUAAAUUCCACCAGCUUCAGAUACCCGUGACACAACAACCCAUCUCAAACCGCCUAAAGCUCAGAAGCAAAUUAAGUGGCGCUUUCCCUUGAAAACACAUCAACAGGAAACUGGCUUCAUGUGAGGCUUGAAUCAGGACUAAAUCUGCCAAACAGCAUCUCUCAGCCAGCGUCCUCCGGGUUGGCAGCCGACUGGCGUCAGUACCUCGCCUUAACGCCACACUCUCUGCUUCUCUGGCCCAAAGUGUUGAAGAGAGAGGCAGCCUCAGGUACCAGGGCUGUUCACAGGGCUCAUUGCUCCCUCUUUAGCCAGAGCAGUGUCUGACUAUGCCUUUGGUGGCUCUGUAUGGAAGCCUUGAUACUUGAAGGUUUUGAACACUUCUAUGUACUGAACUUUUUUUUUUUUUUUAAUUUCAAGAGGAAUUUUUAAUUCUUGGAAGGAAUUAGAUGUUAAUUCCUGGAAAGAGGGGAGAUUAAAAAUCCCGUGCUUAAGGAUGCAUUUGCAGACCAAGAAGCCGAAACUCAAGGAGACAGAGUGAUUUUGCUACAGCCUCCAGGCAAUUAUUGUUUACAGCAUUUUAUUUCCUACUUAACUGAACUGGAAUGUCAUGAGUCAUAACAGGACUCUGAAUGCUUCUUGGAAACGCAUGCCCUCAUGAAAGAUGUCAAGGAGUGAUGAAGAAAAAUAACUCAGUGAUGCUUGAUGUCUGACAAAUUUGCAAUGAGAGAUAUUCCUAAGAACAUUGUUAUAAUGUAGCCAGUUAUCAUAUGGAUUUGAAUGUAGGUGGUCCAAGGAAGCAAAUCUCAUAUAUAUGUCAGGAUAAUCUUCCAGAACCAUGUUUAUACAAGUCAAAGCUAACUACUAGUGGGUAUAGUCUUUGCCCAGGUGGGUAUACACAGGACUGUUGGCCAUUUAACAGUCCUUUGCAAAUGAAGGAUGGUUUGGAACAAAAGAAGGAGCAAAGGAUCCAGAGAGAGAAGCUUUAGGUUUCUGUUGUUUUUUUUUUUUUUUUUUUUUUUUUUUUUUUUUUUGUCUUUUUAGGGCUGUACCCAUAGCUUAUGGAGAUGCCCAGGUUAGGGGUCGAAUCAGAGCUGCAGCCGCCAGCCUACACCACAGCCACAGCCACAGCCAUGCCAGAUCCAAGCUGCAUCUGCGACCUAUACCACGGCAAUACCGGAUCCUUAACCCACUGAGCGAGGCCAGGGAUCCAACCUGCAUCCUCAUGGAUACUAGUCAGAUUCGUUUCCGUUGAGCCACGAUGGGAACUCCCUCAAGUUAGUUUUUUUGAACCUUAUCUAUAAAGCAGAGAAAGCAUUAUCUGUUGGGAGGAUUAAGUUUUGAACUUAAUUGUGCAGCACUGAAUAUAAGGCUUAUGUUAGCAGAGUCUUCUGGUAGUAACCUAAAUGGAAAUUGCAUUGCUUUGCAUCUAAUUCCAUCUGACUUUUAGCCUCAAAUCAACACUAGCAGCACCCACUGACAUUCUCUGAAUGAGGAACUACAGGGCCAGCUCUUGGCUUGGAGUCCACUGGACAAAAUACUGUUGGGGACUCUCCUGAAUCAGAAGCGUGUGGGGCUUGAUGUCGAAGUCCUGGUCUAUUUUAUAUUUCUGUUUUACUGGAACUUAGUGCUUGUGCAAGGUUAAAUUCUGGAAUCAGGAAACUUUCCAUGAAUUUUCUUUCCAGAGGCCUCCAGGAAGGGCUAGAGGAACCACUAGACAUUUAUGUCUGUGUGUCAUGGGUCUGUACAGACACCAGGGGUGCAAUCAUUCUGACUCAUUUUUCCUAAAUGGAGCAUGUACACACUUCUGUGUGUGUGUGUGUGUGUGUGUGUGUGUGUUUGUGAAUUUAGAGUCCAGAGAUGAGAGGAUGUGAUUUGGUCACAGCUACUUGACAGUUGGUACAGCCAUUGUCUAUGCAGACAUUUAUGAUGAAAGUGGGCAGAUGGAGGAAAGUGUCUGUAUAUUUUGCCCCAGUUUUGCUCACCUUUCUAGAGCUGUAAUUAAUUUUUUCUUUCUUUUCUUUGUUUUUUUUUUCUCUCCCAAAAGUUUGGCUUCUCCCAAGCAAAAUGAAGGAUAUGGAAACUUUGAUGUUGGAUAUGCACAUGUUGGUUAUUUAAUAAUGAUGCUUCUGGUGUUUAUCAUUAUUAGAAAUAUUAAUCACUACAAUGUCCUACUGGCUCUACUUCAGAUUCUCACCGAGGUGAUGGGCGUGGGGUGAUAGCAUGGUAUUUCCUUUAGUAAUAUGUUAGAUUCUCCCAGUGCUCAGGUAAUUUAAACUUAGAAGCAACUGUGACAUUGCGGUUACUGACCAAUUAAAAGAAGCACUGAUCAGUUUAACACAACAGUGAAUGAGGCUGAAUAGCAGCCCUUUAUUAAAAGUCAAAUCUCCACUGAGGUGAACCAAAUUAGACAUUUACCUCCUUUUCUUUUUUUCCCCAUACUCUUAAUUUUAGAACGUUUGUAAUUCUACAACCAUCAUCAUAACCCAAUUUUAUAGCAUUUCCAUCCCAAACCCCCAGCCCAUCCCCCCACCCCUAGCCUGUCUCCUUUGGAAACUGUAAGUUUUUCAAAGUCUGUGGGUCAGUAUCUGUUCUGCAAAGAAGUUCAUUGGGUCCUUUUUUUAGAUUUCACAUGUAAGCAAUAGCAUAUGAUGUUGGUGUCUCACUGUCUGAUUAACUUCACGUAGCGUGAUCAUUUCUAGGUCCAUCCGUGUUGCUUCAGAUGCUGUUAUUUCUUUCCUUUUAAUGGCUGAGUAAUAUUCCAUUGUGUAUAUGUACCAUAUCUUCUUGAUCCACUCCUCUGUCGAUGGGCAUUUAGGUGGUUUCCAUGUCUUGGCUGUUGUAUACAGUGCUGCAGUGAACACUGGAGUACAUAUAUCUUUCCGAGUCGUGGUUCCUCUGGAUAGAUGCCCAGGAGUGGGAUUGCUGGAAUAGACAUUUACAUCAUUUUAUAGAUAGCCUGUGUGCUAGAUCUGAGUCGCAAAAUUUUCUAGGUCGGAUACUUGCUGAAUGACCUAGUCAAGUUGUCUUCAACCUGGAAUUUUUUGGCCCUUAGGUUUUUGUGGAUUUAUUCUCAGGGGCUGGGAGUCCUCUAUCUUCAUUUUUAAAUGUUGUCAUUCCUUUGGGUGCUUAUCUUUAAAAAUUAAUAUAAGUGCACUUCUCUGUUGUAUGAUUGCUUCAUAUGUGAGCAUUACCGCAUAACUUCCGUGCUCACAUCUAGGAGCCCACAGAAAGCGAUUAACUUUACAUUGCACUUUUAAUGUAGCAUGGAUUAGAGUCCAUGGCUAGGGGGGCCUUCGGUUUACUGUCGGGUAUCAGGGGUUAAACUGUUUGAAACCUAGUCCAACCAUCCUCUUAUUUAUGACAGAUCCCUUCUUUACCAUCCCUCCCCGCUGCUUACGUCUUCCAACAGGGAACUUACAGCACACGCAGACUCGUGGAUUUGGGUGUUUAUGUCAUGAAUUUGAGAGACCCUGUGGUCCUUCAGAGGGUUAAACUUAUCCAAAUCUCACAGCUGUAGCGGAGGAUUUGCAAUCCUGUGUCUCUCUUGCUCUGCAAUCCUGCCACCUGGUUUCACCUGUGAACCACUUUAAUUAUCUUUUUCUCUGUUGGACUUGAAUCUGCCCCUCUGAAUGUACUUUAAGCCACUGAGGCUCAUUCUAACUCUGAAGCCAUACCAAACAAGUCUAACAAUUGUCUGGUGACGGAUAUGUCAUAUGUAACAAGUUUUUGUUUGUUUGUUUAUUUGUUUUAACUUUUUUAUCUGAUAGGCGCUGGAUCUUGUCAAAAGUCUAUAAUUUGCUCUUAAGGAUGUAGUAAGAAUAUAGUGACAGAUUUGUAUCUUUAAACAGAAACUAAGUUUCUGAAA